Molecule: RNA transcript, 845 nt
Organism: Tripterygium wilfordii
Lineage: Eukaryota; Viridiplantae; Streptophyta; Magnoliopsida; Celastrales; Celastraceae
Gene name: glycine-rich RNA-binding protein 2, mitochondrial-like
Exons: 6
Source: RefSeq, a predicted model, not a curated record
CGAAUUUCCUCAUCCUAGUCAACAGUUAAAAUGGCAUUUUAUAACAAACUUGGGAGUCUCACAAGGCAGAGUGCAUCUCAGAGUGGGAAAGUUUCAGUAUCACAUAUGCUUAAUUUUGUUCGCCACAUGUCAUCAAAACUUUUUAUUGGAGGACUCUCGUAUGGAACUGAUGAUCGAUCUCUUAAGGAGGCAUUUGAAAGUUUUGGUGAUGUAGUUGAAGCAAGGGUAAUUGUUGACAGAGACUCUGGGAGGUCGAGGGGUUUUGGGUUUGUCAACUUCUCAAGCGAUGAUUGUGCAAGCUCUGCACUGUCAGCCAUGGAUGGCAAGGAGCUGAAUGGUCGGAACAUUCGUGUAAGCUAUGCCCAAGAUAACAGAUCAAGUGGCCCCCGUUCAUUUCGUGGGGAUGGAGGUUUUGGUGGCAAUUCUGGAUACUAAGCAGUUGCUGGUUCCAUUGAUGGGCAUGUUCUUUAGCUGGCUACUUGUUUGGGCUAAAUGUUAUUUGUUUACUUUAUUUUUCGGAUUUACAAGACUUUGGAAUUACCAUGUGCUUUCAGUACCAAUUUUUGCAAGUUAUGCUAUAUAGUUCUAAGGGGUAUACGUUUUUGGGUUGAGGAAUAUGGCAUCUGUUGGUUAUUGGGUAUGUCCUACGGAUGACUAUUACCUCCAUUUGGCUAAGAUAUUCCCAUUUGUUUCAGCUACUUUCUAGACUUUCCAUGUUCAUCGCCUGGCCAUACUGGUCGCGAGAUCGUGUGUAAAAUUUAGAGCUGUGAAAAAAACCUACCUAUGUUAUCCAGAAAAUAUGUUUCAUAGUAAUGUUGUGUUUGUUCAAGUGAUCCAUAUGGUCU